RNAcentral lists this ribosomal RNA (499 nucleotides) under uncultured bacterium. RNAcentral describes it as "partial 16S ribosomal RNA". It matches the Rfam family "Bacterial small subunit ribosomal RNA", at positions 28 to 507 of the family's 1533-position model. The record is from RNAcentral.
GACGAACGCUGGCGGCGUGCCUAAUACAUGCAAGUCGAGCGAAGUUUUUCUGGUGCUUGCACUAGAAAAACUUAGCGGCGAACGGGUGAGUAACACGUAAAGAACCUGCCUCAUAGACUGGGACAACUAUUGGAAACGAUAGCUAAUACCGGAUAACAGUAUUUCUCGCAUGAGAGAUAUUUAAAAGUUGGUUAUGCUAACACUAUGAGAUGGCUUUGCGGUGCAUUAGCUAGUUGGUGGGGUAAAGGCCCACCAAGGCGACGAUGCAUAGCCGACCUGAGAGGGUGAUCGGCCACACUGGGACUGAGACACGGCCCAGACUCCUACGGGAGGCAGCAGUAGGGAAUCUUCCGCAAUGGGCGAAAGCCUGACGGAGCAACGCCGCGUGAGUGAAGAAGGAUUUCGGUUCGUAAAGCUCUGUUGUUAGGGAAGAAUGGAUAUGUAGUAACUAUACAUGUAAGAGACGGUACCUAACCAGAAAGCCAGGGCUAACUACGUG